RNAcentral lists this transfer RNA (68 nucleotides) under marine eukaryotic metagenome. It matches the Rfam family "tRNA", at positions 5 to 66 of the family's 71-position model. From Rfam's summary of the family: Transfer RNA (tRNA) molecules are approximately 80 nucleotides in length. The record is from RNAcentral.
UCUGUGGCUCAAUGGAUAGAGCAACGGACUUCGGAUCCGUAGGUUGGGGGUUCGAGUCCCUCCAGGCG